GACGAACGCUGGCGGCGUGCUUAACACAUGCAAGUCGAACGGAAAGGCCCUGCUUUUGUGGGGUGCUCGAGUGGCGAACGGGUGAGUAACACGUGAGUAACCUGCCCUUGACUUUGGGAUAACUUCAGGAAACUGGGGCUAAUACCGGAUAGGAGCUCCUGCUGCAUGGUGGGGGUUGGAAAGUUUCGGCGGUUGGGGAUGGACUCGCGGCUUAUCAGCUUGUUGGUGGGGUAGUGGCUUACCAAGGCUUUGACGGGUAGCCGGCCUGAGAGGGUGACCGGCGACAUUGGGACUGAGAUAGGGCCCAGACUCCUACGGGAGGCAGCAGUGGGGAAUAUUGCACAAUGGGCGGAAGCCUGAUGCAGCAGCGCCGCGUGCGGGAUGACGGCCUUCGGGUUGUAAACCGCUUUCGCCUGUGACGAAGCGUGAGUGACGGUAAUGGGUAAAGAAGCACCGGCUAACUACGUG
RNAcentral lists this ribosomal RNA (468 nucleotides) under uncultured bacterium. RNAcentral describes it as "partial 16S ribosomal RNA". It matches the Rfam family "Bacterial small subunit ribosomal RNA", at positions 28 to 507 of the family's 1533-position model. The record is from RNAcentral.